UAAGGAAUAUUGGACAAUGGAGGCAACUCUGAUCCAGCCAUGCCGCGUGAAGGAAUAAGGCCCUAUGGGUUGUAAACUUCUUUUAGACGGGACAAAACCCCUUUACGUGUAAAGGGUUGAUGGUACUGUCAGAAUAAGCAUCGGCUAACUUCGUGCCGGCAGCCGCGGUAAUACGAAGGAUGCAAGCGUUAUCCGGAAUUAUUGGGUUUAAAGGGUGCGUAGGCGGACUAAUAAGUCAGUGGUGAAAGCCUGCAGCUUAACUGCAGAAUUGCCAUUGAUACUGUUACUCUUGAGUACAGUUGAGGUAGGCGGAAUGUGUCAUGUAGCGGUGAAAUGCUUAGAUAUGACACAGAACACCGAUUGCGAAGGCAGCUUGCUAAGCUGUAACUGACGCUGAGGCACGAAAGCGUGGGGAGCAAACA
RNAcentral lists this ribosomal RNA (422 nucleotides) under uncultured bacterium. RNAcentral's name for it is "bacterial SSU rRNA". It matches the Rfam family "Bacterial small subunit ribosomal RNA", at positions 355 to 774 of the family's 1533-position model. The record is from RNAcentral.